This is a long non-coding RNA of Triticum dicoccoides, 420 nucleotides long. RefSeq lists it as uncharacterized. The transcript is spliced from 3 exons. Lineage: Eukaryota; Viridiplantae; Streptophyta; Magnoliopsida; Poales; Poaceae. The record is from RefSeq and is a predicted model, not a curated record.
GCAGAUAUGUAAUGGACAAGAAUUUCAGUGCACGACGAAGGGAAAUAUAUUCUGCUGCACAUAAGGCAGGAACUGAAGUAUUCUUGAAGAGCCCGAAAAAUCAUAAAAAGGGUGUAGCUCUAGAUACAAUGACUCAAAAGAUAAAUGGAUGAGUAUAUGGGAGCGUGGCGAUUAUACUGCAACGAUGGUGUCAAUGAUCCGAUUCAUGAUGAUUAUGAUGACAUAUGCAUUUAGUUUUAGUUAUGUUGUAGGGAUGACGUUCCUGUCGGAUGUUGUUCCUCAGUUAAGAUUGAUAUUUUUAGUUUAACUUUUGCUGUCAAGAAAAUUGUUAGAUUAUGCAUCACAUUUGGAUGAUGUUCCUCCUGUAAUAUCCACUAUUGUAAUCCAACAGUUUUGAUCUGAUAUAUUAUGAUUUGUUCC